GCUCGUACGCUCGCACGCGCGCUCGCCUCGCUCUCGUCUCUCGUCUCUCGUCUCUCGCGUCUCGCGUCUCGCGUCUCGUAAAGGAGUGCCACACGUUCCACGUGUUCCACGCGUGCCACGUGUACCCGACGCAUCGGCCGGGUUCGAUUUCGUUUUUGCCGUUUCAAACCCGAAAUUCGCUUUAAUUUCGCACGGCGCGCGCGAUUACAAAAUUUUCUCUCGCGAUAUCUCUGGCCGUAUCUCGCGAGCGGUCGACGAGAAAAGCUCGCGAUCGCUUCGAGGGAUCAUGUCCGAACGUGGUCACCGGUGGCAACGGUACGGUAAGUCGGUGCAUCGAGUCGCUGCGUCGCGCCUGAUAAAUUCGUUUCUCGCCGGGAGUACCAGAACCGGAACCAGAACCAGAACCAGAACCAGAACCAGAACCAAAGUCAGAACCAGAAUCAGAACCAGAACCAGAACCAGAACCAGAACCAAAACCAGAACUAGAAGCAGAACUGCGACCGAAACUGCGAUCUCGAACGGCAACUCAUGAGCGAUCGUGUGCUCGUUCUUUCUUCGGGUUCCUACCGAUCGCGAAACAACCCCCUCCGAUAGUUUCGCGAGUCGAAGAAGAUCGGCAUGGCAUGGAAAGGCAUAGCUGAACAGAGCAAAGCAGAGCUGAACGGAGCAGAGCUGAACAGAGCAGAGCAGGGCAUGGUAGAGUAGGGUAGGGUAGCGACGUCCGGAAGACGGCACGAGGGGGGACCAACUUGCGCCGCAAAGUCGCGGCGGCGCAACGGCGCGUGUAAACAGAGGACAGCUAACAGGGCAGAUAAUAAAGUUCGUCUUCGAGAGCGGCGACGGACACGGACACGGACACGGACACGUACACGGAUACGAACACGGACGCGGACGCGAACGCGAUCACGGACCGGGCCCUCGACGUCCGCUCUCGACGCUGCUUUCCGUUUCCCAUAUCGAUAUUCGAAGCCGAUCGAGAUACCGUCGAUUCGUAGAUCGAAUUCGUCGACGGCGCCGCUACCUGCCGAUUAACCGCUCGAUCGGUAUCCCGUCCGCCGCUCGCCGCUGCUCCGGAUCGGUCUCGAUCGUCGUUGGAUUCGCCUCGUCGAAUUUGCUCGUCGGCCGCGCGUUCGAAGAUUCGAUGCUGCGCGCGCUCGCGAAUCUCGUCUAGAACCGUUCCGAGCGUUUUCCUCCGGCCCGUUAUCGCGAAUCGAACGUUAUUCGCGAUCUAUCGGCCGUUCUCUCGUUCCUUCGUCCUUGCGUUCGUUCGCAGUCGAAUUUCUCUUCUUAUCGGUUACGGUCGACUCUACCGCUACCGCGCUGCCUCUACCGCUACCGCUACCAAUUUCACCGCUACGCUACGACCACUGCCACGAUCGCCACCACCGUCGUCGUUGAAACCACCGCUACCGAAGCUACACAACCACCACCACCACCACCACCACCACCACCGCCGCUGGAACCGCUACCACCGCUAUCGUCGCCGCCGCCGCCACCACUAUUUUCGUCAUCGUCGUAAUCGUCAUCACCGUCGCAUCGCCAUCACGAUCGCCAUCGCCAUCGCUAUCAUCGUCGCCGUCGUAUCGUCGUAAUCGUUAUCGUCUUCGGUGCUUCCAAAAUUAUAACCAUCGCCGUCCGCGAGAACGAUAGCCACGAGGACGUUCGGCGUUUCCUUUUAACGGUUCCCUGGACUACGCACACCUGGACUCCGAUCGAUUUUUACGAUUUUCCAUUGCUCGGACAAAGAAAAUCGAAUCAACCUCGCGCGCAACGUUCGAUCGGAGGAUAAGUAGCGUUCGCAGCGAACCACGCUGGAGCGAGAAUUCGCUUUCUUCGGCUCGAACGAUCUCGGCGUCGUUACGGUACGAUGGGUCGUUGAAUUCGUCUCGACGCCGGCUAGAAUAUUAUCGAGUCGGAAAUAUGCGUCGACGUAUCAAAUAUAUACAUAUAUAUAUAUCAAGGCGACCAGCAUUUUUUAUAGAAGAAAGUUCUUUUUUCGGAAGCUUUUAUAUUCUAAUACGCGAAAUAGCGAAUAUCGACUAGCUUUCGUUGCAAAAACAUUAUUUUGUCGGAUCGUUAAAAAUGUCUGCGACAUCGUGGUGUUUUGGUGAAAAUGAAACGGUAUCUACGAUCGAAAUACGUUAAAGAAAAUAUCGUACUCUUUUACGUUAAAAACGAGCCGUUUCAACGACCGCGUAUUUCGUCGCGAGAAACGCGAACAAUCGUAAAUCUUUGGGACGAACGAAUCGACGGGAUCGGUAUUCCAGUACCCGAAGCCGAAAGAUACGGUUCGUCGAAAUUAUAAA
Megalopta genalis is the source of this 2306-nucleotide non-coding RNA. The record is from RefSeq and is a predicted model, not a curated record. NCBI's taxonomy places the organism in Eukaryota, Metazoa, Arthropoda, Insecta, Hymenoptera, Halictidae.